GGGGUCGUAGCCUAGCCAGGUAUGGCGACAGGAUCAUCACCCGUGUGUCGCCGGUUCAACUCCGGUCGGCCCCACCA
Molecule: transfer RNA, 77 nt
Filed under: Nitrososphaerota archaeon
Lineage: Archaea; Thermoproteati; Nitrososphaerota
Description: Thaumarchaeota archaeon tRNA-Met
Rfam family: tRNA
About the family: Transfer RNA (tRNA) molecules are approximately 80 nucleotides in length. Their secondary structure includes four short double-helical elements and three loops (D, anti-codon, and T loops). Further hydrogen bonds mediate the characteristic L-shaped molecular structure. tRNAs have two regions of fundamental functional importance: the anti-codon, which is responsible for specific mRNA codon recognition, and the 3' end, to which the tRNAs corresponding amino acid is attached (by aminoacyl-tRNA synthetases). tRNAs cope with the degeneracy of the genetic code in two manners: having more than one tRNA (with a specific anti-codon) for a particular amino acid; and 'wobble' base-pairing, i.e. permitting non-standard base-pairing at the 3rd anti-codon position.
Source: RNAcentral